AGGCCAACACAGCAGUCGAGCGGUAACAGGACCAGCUUGCUGGUUGCUGACGAGCGGCGGACGGGUGCGUAACACGUAGGAUCUGCCCGGUAGUGGGGGUAGCCCGGAGAAAUCCGGAUAAUACCGCAUACGCCUUACGAGGGAAAGCAGGGGAUCGUUCUUUUCGGAGAGUGAACCUUGCGCUAUCGGAUGAGCCUUCGUCGGAUUAGCUUGUUGGUGAGGUAAAGGCUUACCAAGGCGACGAUCCGUAGCUGGUCUGAGAGGAUGAUCAGCCACACUGGGACUGAGACACGGCCCAGACUCCUACGGGAGGCAGCAGUGGGGAAUAUUGCACAAUGGGCGAAAGCCUGAUGCAGCCAUGCCGCGUGUGUGAAGAAGGCCUUAGGGUUGUAAAGCACUUUCAGCGAGGAGGAAAGGGCAGUUGCUAAUACCGACUGUCUGUGACGUUACUCGCAGAAGAGCACCGGCUAACUCCGUGCCAGCAGCCGCGUAAUAACGGAGGGUGCGAGCGUUAUUCGGAAUUACUGGGCGUAAAGCGUGCGUAGGCGGCUAAAUUAAGUGGGAUGUGGAAACCCCGGGCUCCACCCGGGAACUGGCUCCCAAACUGGGUAGCUAGAAUGCCGGAGAAGGAUUGGAAUUCCUGGGUAGCGGUGAAAUGCGUAAAAUUAGAAGGAACCCCAUGGCGAAGGCGAAAUUCGGGCCUAUACCGAACUGAGUACGAAAGCUUGGGAGCAAACGGUUAGUACCUGUAGUCCACCUGUAACAAUCAUAUUUGAAUCAGUUCUUGGACAACUACCUAUCACGCUGGAUACGCCAGUUAACUAAUGAUGGGAGGGCA
Molecule: ribosomal RNA, 838 nt
Filed under: uncultured bacterium
Lineage: Bacteria
Description: bacterial SSU rRNA
Rfam family: Bacterial small subunit ribosomal RNA
Source: RNAcentral